UACAGAGGGUGCGAGCGUUAAUCGGAAUUACUGGGCGUAAAGCGUGCGUAGGUGGUUUGCUAAGUCAGGUGUGAAAUCCCUGGGCUCAACCCAGGAACUGCAUUUGAUACUGGCAGGCUUGAGUGUGGUAGAGGGUAGUGGAAUUCCCGGUGUAGCGGUGAAAUGCGUAGAUAUCGGGAGGAACAUCAGUGGCGAAGGCGGCUACCUGGACCAACACUGACACUGAGGUACGAAAGCGUGGGGAGCAAACAGG
This 253-nucleotide ribosomal RNA is filed under the name uncultured bacterium. Its description in RNAcentral is "partial 16S ribosomal RNA". It matches the Rfam family "Bacterial small subunit ribosomal RNA", at positions 524 to 776 of the family's 1533-position model. The record is from RNAcentral.